UAAGGAAUAUUGCUCAAUGGGAGAAAUCCUGAAGCAGCAACGCCGCGUGGAGGAUGAAGGGUCUAUGACUUGUAAACUCCUGUAAAGAAGGAAAAAAUUCCCAUUUGAUGGGAGAUGAUGGUACUUCUGGAGUAAGCCCCGGCUAACUACGUGCCAGCAGCCGCGGUAAUACGUAGGGGGCAAGCGUUGUCCGGAUUUACUGGGUGUAAAGGGUGCUCAGGCGGAUUUGUAAGUCAGAGGUGAAAUCUUACAGCUUAACUGUGAAACUGCCUAUGCUACUGCAAGCCUAGAGUAUGGAAGAGAGUGAUGGAAUAUCUGGUGUAGCAGUGAAAUGCGUAGAUAUCAGAUAGAACACCAAUGGCGAAGGCAGUCACUUGGUCCAUUACUGACGCUAAAGCACGAAAGCGUGGGUAGCAAACA
This 420-nucleotide ribosomal RNA is filed under the name uncultured bacterium. RNAcentral describes it as "bacterial SSU rRNA". It matches the Rfam family "Bacterial small subunit ribosomal RNA", at positions 355 to 774 of the family's 1533-position model. The record is from RNAcentral.